AUAUGUGUUAGGAAAGUCCGGGCAUCACAGAGCAGGAUAGCUGCUAACGGCAGCCGAGGGCGACCUUAGGGACAGUGCAGCAGAAAAUAUACCGCCUCUGAAAAGAGGUAAGGGUGGAAUGGUGAGGCAAGAGCUCACCGGAGCGGCGGAGACGCCGCUGCCGUGUAAACCCUAUCCGAUGCAACGUCUAUUGGUACGUGUACGUCAAUGUCUGCUCGGCAGACGUACCGUAAUGACGGCUAAAGCGUUUCGGCGACGAUUCGCUCAGAUAGAUUUCCGCACACGACAAAACCCGGCUUAUCGGCUUAGUC
This 311-nucleotide RNase P RNA is filed under the name human gut metagenome. RNAcentral's name for it is "Bacterial RNase P class A". It matches the Rfam family "Bacterial RNase P class A", at positions 35 to 362 of the family's 367-position model. Rfam says of the family: Ribonuclease P (RNase P) is a ubiquitous endoribonuclease, found in archaea, bacteria and eukarya as well as chloroplasts and mitochondria. Its best characterised activity is the generation of mature 5'-ends of tRNAs by cleaving the 5'-leader elements of precursor-tRNAs. The record is from RNAcentral.